GAUGAACGCUGGCGGCGUGCCUAAUACAUGCAAGUCGAGCGAACAGACGAGGAGCUUGCUCCUCUGACGUUAGCGGCGGACGGGUGAGUAACACGUGGAUAACCUACCUAUAAGACUGGGAUAACUUCGGGAAACCGGAGCUAAUACCGGAUAAUAUAUUGAACCGCAUGGUUCAAUAGUGAAAGACGGUUUUGCUGUCACUUAUAGAUGGAUCCGCGCCGCAUUAGCUAGUUGGUAAGGUAACGGCUUACCAAGGCAACGAUGCGUAGCCGACCUGAGAGGGUGAUCGGCCACACUGGAACUGAGACACGGUCCAGACUCCUACGGGAGGCAGCAGUAGGGAAUCUUACGCAAUGGGCGAAAGCCUGACGGAGCAACGCCGCGUGAGUGAUGAAGGUCUUCGGAUCGUAAAACUCUGUUAUUAGGGAAGAACAAAUGUGUAAGUAACUAUGCACGUCUUGACGGUACCUAAUCAGAAAGCAACGGCUAACUACGUG
RNAcentral lists this ribosomal RNA (497 nucleotides) under uncultured bacterium. RNAcentral's name for it is "partial 16S ribosomal RNA". It matches the Rfam family "Bacterial small subunit ribosomal RNA", at positions 28 to 507 of the family's 1533-position model. The record is from RNAcentral.